GAUGAACGCUGGCGGCGUGCCUAACACAUGCAAGUCGAACGGACAGGCCCUGAUCUUGUGCGGUUCUCGUGUGCCGAACGGGUGAGUAUCACGCGAGUAUCCUCUCCCUGUCUUUGUGAUAUCUUCAGGAGACUGGGGCUCUUAUCCCAUAGGAUCUACUGCAGCAUGUUGGGCGUUGGUUAGUUUCGGCGGUUGGGGAUGGUCUCGCGGCUUAUCAGCUUGUUGGUGGGGUAGUGGCUUACCAAGGCUAUGACGGGUAGCCGGCCUGAGAGGGUGACCGGCCACAUUGGGACUGAGAUACGGCCCAGACUCCUACGGGAGGCAGCAGUGGGGAAUAUUGCACAAUGGGCGGAAGCCUGAUGCAGCAACGCCGCGUGCGGGAUGACGGCCUUCGGGUUGUAAACCGCUUUCGCCUGUGACGAAGCGUGAGUGACGGUAAUGGGUAAAGAAGCACCGGCUAACUACGUG
RNAcentral lists this ribosomal RNA (468 nucleotides) under uncultured bacterium. RNAcentral describes it as "partial 16S ribosomal RNA". It matches the Rfam family "Bacterial small subunit ribosomal RNA", at positions 28 to 507 of the family's 1533-position model. The record is from RNAcentral.